CCUACGGGAGGCAGCAGUGAGGAAUAUUGGUCAAUGGCCGGAAGGCUGAACCAGCCAAGCCGCGUGAAGGACGAAGGUUCCAAGCAUUGUAAACUUCUUUUGUCAAGGAACAAAAUCAGGCUCGAGAUCCUGACCGAGCGUACUUGAAGAAAAAGCAUCGGCUAACUCUGCGCCAGCAGCCGCGGUAAUACGGAGGAUGCGAGUGUUAUCCGGUUUCAUUGGGUUGAAAGGGUGGGUAGGCGGCCUGUUAAGUCAGCGGAAAAAGCCCGGGCUAAACCCCGGCGAGCCGUUGAAACUGGCUGUCUUGAGUGGUGGAGAGGUAAGCGGAAUGCGUAGUGUAGCGGUGAUAUGCUUAGAUAUUAGGCAGAACUCCAGUGGCGAAGGCAGCAUACCGGAGGCGAUCUGACGCUGAGGCACGAAAGCGUGGGUAUCGAACAGGAGUAGAUACCCGGGUAGUC
Molecule: ribosomal RNA, 458 nt
Filed under: uncultured bacterium
Lineage: Bacteria
Description: partial 16S ribosomal RNA
Rfam family: Bacterial small subunit ribosomal RNA
Source: RNAcentral